UACCAUGAGUAAAGUGGCGGACGGGUGAGUAACACGUGGGUAUCCGCUCUUUGGUGGGGAAUAACUCUGGGAAACCGGAGCUAAUACCGCAUAAGUCCGAGAGGAGAAAGGCGAAAGUCGCCGAAGAAGGAGCCCGCGGCUGAUUAGCUAGUUGGUGAGGUAAUGGCCCACCAAGGCGAAGAUCGGUAGCCGGCCUGAGAGGGCACACGGCCACACUGGCACUGAGACACGGGCCAG
Molecule: ribosomal RNA, 237 nt
Filed under: uncultured bacterium
Lineage: Bacteria
Description: partial 16S ribosomal RNA
Rfam family: Bacterial small subunit ribosomal RNA
Source: RNAcentral